AACGCACAUUGCGCCCCUUGGUGUUCCGGGGGGCAUGCCUGUUCGAGCGUCAUUUCAACCCUCAAGCUUUGCUUGGUCUUGGGCUCUGCCGGCAACGGCUUGCCUUAAACCCAGUGGCGGUGCCAUUCGAGUUCUACGCGUAGUAGUAAAACCCUCGCGAUUGAGCUUGGUGGAUGCCGGCCAGCAACCCCUUAUUUUCUAUGGUUGACCUCGGAUCAGGUAGGGAUACCCGCUGAACUUAA
RNAcentral lists this unclassified non-coding RNA (242 nucleotides) under uncultured fungus. RNAcentral's name for it is "sequence contains ITS2". Lineage: Eukaryota; Fungi. The record is from RNAcentral.